AGCACUCUAGCUAACCCCGUUGGCUCCAAGAUCCACCUUUUCUCCUGGAGUAAUAUGAUCAUUAGCGAACAACGCUCAGUGAGAAGCAGACACAGGGUGUCUCUACCCUCGUGCACGUAAGGGAUGAGACCGGCCUCUGCCAAAACUGCUUCCAGACUCAAGUUCCCACCUGCCUCGGGUUCCUCUUCACUCUGGAUGGAAACUCCCGUUUAAUCUCCUUAGUUACCCAGAUCUAAGGCUCCAAACAGAUACUCUCCACGUGAGCAGUGACCUUUCCAGAAGGUGGCACAUUCCUGCUCUCCUGCCUGUCCCUGCUGGCCUUCCUCCCCGACCUGGCCUUCAUUCACAGGAAGUGUAUUCUUUAAGCAAAGUAAGCCUGUCCCCAGACUACAUUUCAGGGACAGAUGGUGCUAAAUGUGCACGACAAUAACUGUGCAUUGCUCAAGAUGUCCGGGAGAAGGAGUCAGCCCAGCCUCAGCAUGGUCACCAGAGCAAGCUGAACCACCCUCUGCUCUCACUGCUCUUACCCCACCAGCCCUCCACAUGAGGGUAGGAGGUCUGGAGCUGUCUGCUUCACAAGGGUAAGUUCUGGAACAGGACAAUGCCAUUUCGAUAUGGUGGGCGUCAAAGCCUAGGGGUCCUGGGGCUCUGUUCUGCCUCCAGCCCACGAAUGUCCCAAGGCCAUGCGAGUUGCCCACAGAGCAUCCAUGGAUGCAGCAGGAACUCUUUGCUGGCCCCAACUGUGGCUCUGUGGAAGGCUUCUUUAGAGUGGGACGAGAGGAAUCGCGCUGGGGGCAGGUACUGGUUUAGCGUCCAUGACACCAGUGAGACUACGACUGCUCUUCAGGAACAACUCGUCUCUUCUAUUUUUCCUUUCCUGGCUCCUCUGCGCUCCUAUGGGUCAACCUGGAGACUACGCUCACAGAUGCCACUUGGGACUUUUCACGGAGCUCCGACCAUCACUGAAACUUUGGGGGUUGGUUUUUAAUCCACUGGGGGAAACACUGUGUGUUGCCUUUCAGAAUCAUAAUUAGGCCAUCUUCGUGGGGGUGUUUAUUUUCUUUAAAAUAGUGAAGUGUGGGCUUUCUUAGAUUGGUUGUCCCAACCCAGAAGCUUGUGCCAGGCUGGAGCGAGGGUGCUUUUCUGGUUUAUUUGUUUUCCUUAAGCUGGAAUGCACUGGUUUAUCUUAGACUCUUUUGUUGAUUCUGCUUUUUUAGUGUUGGGAAGGCUGGCUCUGGCUUACACAUGAAAAGAAAGCAAAUUCCUCAUGACUGGGGACAGUGUGACAGUUAAGAACAGAGACUCUGGUCCAGGCUGCUGCUGUUCAAAUGCUGGCCCCACAAUGGAAUGGCUGUGAAGCCCCAGGCAAGUUGCUCAACCUCUCUGUGCCUCUCUUGCCUCAUCAACACAAUGGGAAUAAUAAUAGUACCUACACCACAGAGUUUAUCAAAGCAUACUUUUCAAAAAGUUAAAACACUAUUCUCAUGUAAAUAUAGAGCGAGCACGAAUCAAAUACUUAUUUUAUUCAUUAGCAAGGGAACCAGCAGGUUGAGAACACUGGGGUUCACAGAAUAUGUGGGCUAAUGUGUAUAUAUAGUUCCAAGUUCAGGCAUUUUUGUAACAGGUGGUUAUGAGAAGACUGAAUCAGUACAUAUAUUUAUGUGUAUAUAUACUAACAACAUAUGUGUACGUAUGUAAUAAUAUAGGUAUAUAGGUAUGUAUGUAAUAUAGGUAUAUAUUUACUAUAUAUACUAUGCUGGAUAGAACUGAACUUGACACAUUAUAAGCACUACAUAACUUUCACCAUUAUUAUUAUUUUGUAACUAAAUUUUUCUCUCACUAUGUAUCCAUCGAAAAAGGCAUUUUUGUUGCUUUCAAUGUAAAUUGCCUAGAAUGAAUUUGAAAUGUGGCAUAAGAAGUUUCUAAAUGUCUAUUAAUAUUGUCUUUCUUUUUUAACUAGAAGAGAUAAAUCUACAAUUUUCCAUUUCUUUGAAAUGAUUAAUUCAUAUACUCAAGGAAAGUAGGUUAUGCAACUUAUUCAAGGAGAUGAAUCUUGAGAUGAACUUUUUUUUCAAGUGUAGCUAUAUGUGGUCUUUAGCUUCUCAAAGCUUUCUAAACUGUUAAAGGAUUCUAAUGUUUCCCAAAAGUCUGGAAGUGAGCCUUUGUGCUUGGUUUAAAUUUGAAAAAAAACAAAAACAAAAAACAUUUAGGGAACUCCAAAUGCUUAAUUAUUAAGGACAGACAGAGUAAAUACCAUAUGGUCAAGGUUGGACAAGGCUCUGCUGUCUUCCUUAGCUGGCCAAACUCCCCAGAGCUAAGGGUUAAAGCUUGAACAUCUUCCAGGUUAUCUUCUAAUGAGUAAAAUAUGCUGUUUGUGCUGGUCUUUAUAUACGUGACUUACUUUUUAAAUUAAAAAUACUCUCCCGAAAAGUAUAGAAAAUUUAGUUUCCUAUGACCCUCAGGAUUUCUUCCUGUGUUUUGUCUGGGUCAUUCUAUUACCGAUAAGCAAACUCACGGCCAAGAAGUUUGGCUUCCCAUGCUUGUGUUUAAGGGGUCACUCUGCCCAUCGCUCUGUGUCUUUAAUCCAUGGCAAAUUUCAAAGCAGGAGCUCAGUCCAGGAGCGGAUCAUAGAAAAGACUCAAUUCAUCUACACUGAAUGAACCCACUGAGAAGCAUUUAUCCAGAAAUCACUUCAUGCUUUCCUAUCAAUCUUCCGUACAAGUGGACAUUAACUGCAGAUAAUUUAUCCAGAACAGUGUCCCUCUGUGUUGGGGUAAAACUGGAACCUCUGAAACUAUUCAGUAGAACAGUAAAAAAUUUAAUGCGCUCUUUGGGUCAAAACAACUACUUUGCUCAUAAUACCUGUAUUUUCCACUUUGAAAAAGAUAUAAACUGACGCUCUGUGGCAGACAGACACUAACAUGACCUCCCAAGUGUCCUCACCUCUUGGUGUUCAUCUCCUUGUGUAAUCCUCCCUCCUUGAAUGUGGGUAGUAUCUGUGACUUGCUUCUAACCAAUAUUGCAAAGGUGACAGGAUGUCCCUUCCGUGAUAACGUUACAUAAAGCUGUAACAUCUACCUUGCUCGGCUGUGCUCCCUUGCCAGCUUUGACGAAGCAAGCAGCGGUGUCCAGGAAGCCAUCACACCGGAAGGAACUAGGAGCGGCCUGUGGCCACCAGCUAGCAAGAAACUGAGGCCCUCAGUCAAACAGCCUACAUGGAUCUGAAUCCAGCUAGCAACUAUGUGAGCUUGGAAGGGAAUCCUUCCCCAGACAAGCCUUGAAAUGAGCCCACGGCCCCAGCCAACCCCUUCACUGCAGCCAUGUGAAAUAGAAGACUCCUUUGAGUCAUGGCCAGACUCCUGCCAUAAUAAAUGUGUGUUGUUUUAAGCUA
Molecule: long non-coding RNA, 3391 nt
Organism: Herpailurus yagouaroundi (jaguarundi)
Lineage: Eukaryota; Metazoa; Chordata; Mammalia; Carnivora; Felidae
Exons: 2
Source: RefSeq, a predicted model, not a curated record